GAUGGUGAACAUGACAGUCAAUGUUGUGAAAGGCCUUCUGCAAUAGAUACACCAAGAUGCUGUUUGUUCUGGUGUUUCAACUCCUAAUCCUGUAAUGAAUUGUUCCCUGGAAUCAUGCCAGCGGUCAUUUGCUAAUCCGACUAUCAUACUCCCUCCACAAAGUUCGGAAUUAAAUAAAACUUGAAGGAAUUUAAGCUCAAUCCCGGAGCAAAAAUUUUCUCUCCAUCUUUUGUUACUGCUGCCAUAUCAGCAGCUCCUCCCGUAGUACCAACAGUCGCAAUGUGUCGUACAUACCUGGCAACUUACCUAUGGUAGCUGUUUCUGUUUCUCAUCCAGAGGUUGGAAUGGGCACUUUUGCGCCUCGUUCCUCUACACCUUCUAAGUUUAUCUCUUAUGGUAACAUAUCAGCUGCAACUGGUGUCAGUGGUUCACAGUUUUCUCAACCUAUUGUUGGGCAUAUGGGGAAUAGAACCCAGCCACUUAGAUUCGCUAGUCAUAUCAUCCUGUUCAGGCUGCGCCGGCAUAUUUGAAUCCAAA
Molecule: long non-coding RNA, 537 nt
Organism: Hibiscus syriacus
Lineage: Eukaryota; Viridiplantae; Streptophyta; Magnoliopsida; Malvales; Malvaceae
Exons: 3
Source: RefSeq, a predicted model, not a curated record